GCGUUGGUGGUGUAGUGGUGAGCAUAGUUGCCUUCCAAGCAGUUGAGCCAGGUUCAAUCCCCAGCUAAUGGA
This 72-nucleotide transfer RNA is filed under the name Loxodonta africana (African savanna elephant). It matches the Rfam family "tRNA". From Rfam's summary of the family: Transfer RNA (tRNA) molecules are approximately 80 nucleotides in length. The record is from Rfam by way of RNAcentral. Lineage: Eukaryota; Metazoa; Chordata; Mammalia; Proboscidea; Elephantidae.